RNAcentral lists this small RNA (435 nucleotides) under Arabidopsis thaliana (thale cress). RNAcentral's name for it is "ATSL255950". Lineage: Eukaryota; Viridiplantae; Streptophyta; Magnoliopsida; Brassicales; Brassicaceae. The record is from RNAcentral.
AAUUACGAUAACAAAAAUAGACUCCUAGGCCACAAAAUGAGAGUGGAUCGUUAGCAACAAUAUCAUUUUUUAUAUAUAAAUUUUGUCGAUUGAUUCGGUAAAUCUCGAUAGAAACAUACCGAUAUACUUUAUAGUGGACUUCUUCUUAAAGGACCACCACAUUGUCUGUUCUUAGUUUGCAUUUCUAACUAUCACAUAAACCAAUUGGGUUAAGACCCAAUUGACAGACUUCCUAAACAAAUGUGAUUUAAAUAAUAUUAUUUUUGUCCAGUUUCUUGUUACUAACUCAAUAAUAUACAGAUUUAAAUUUAAAUAUACAUUUUAUACUUAAAUUUCUAAUAUUAAAAAAAAAAGUUUGUAUAUAUUGACAGAAUAAUAGAAUCACUUAUUUUUUAGUCAUCUAUAGUAAAAGUAUAUAGAAAGGUUAGUAAAAAA